RNAcentral lists this non-coding RNA (26 nucleotides) under Homo sapiens (human). Lineage: Eukaryota; Metazoa; Chordata; Mammalia; Primates; Hominidae. The record is from RNAcentral.
UCCACAGAAUGGGGUGCAGUGCAGUC